Molecule: long non-coding RNA, 695 nt
Filed under: Lepisosteus oculatus (spotted gar)
Lineage: Eukaryota; Metazoa; Chordata; Actinopteri; Semionotiformes; Lepisosteidae
Description: lncRNA (ENSLOCG00000021439.1)
Source: RNAcentral
AAAAAAACAGUAUAGAAGAUUAAAUGCACAGCUUCUCCUGAACUCCAUUUCCGAAUGUUGCAUAGUUUAUUUCACAAAAAUAUUUUGAUAUGUCAUGUUUAGUUGUGAAAUGUUACUGUAUGUUCUUUUGAGAUUCCUGAUAGUGCAUUAAAUAAUUGAAGUCUUCUGUUUAAUGUUUUAUUCUAAGUCUGGGCGGUAGUUUCUGACCAAAUCAGAUCACAACACUGCAUCUCUAACUAUUUAAGCAUGUAACUGGAAGCAUUUACAUACUGUCCAGUGCAUAUGCAAGAGUGGAAUGUACCUCAAUACACCUGUAUAUUUUUAACAUGUUUUUUCAGUUAUCAGAAGCCAGAACAAACAGCUUAGAGCUGCUGGAAAGAAAUGCAGACCUUCAGAAUCAACUAGAAGACUUAAGAAACAAUUCAUUAUCUAAGAAUUCUAAUACCCAAGAGCAGUACAUUCGAAGGUUAGAACAAGAAAUCACGUUUUCCAAAGAACAGAUUGUGUCAUUGGUAUGUACCCUGCAAUUUCCCAAUUUAAAACACAUUAGAAUGUGAUAAUGUAACUUUUUUACAUAGUAUAAUGAAUGUUUCUUGGGUUCAAUUAAUCUUUAGACAUAGGAGUUUCCAUUAUUAAUUCAUUGGAAAACAUUGCUUUUCAGAAUAUUUUUUUGUACUUACUAAAUAAGAAUGAAC